RNAcentral lists this ribosomal RNA (253 nucleotides) under uncultured bacterium. RNAcentral's name for it is "partial 16S ribosomal RNA". It matches the Rfam family "Bacterial small subunit ribosomal RNA", at positions 524 to 776 of the family's 1533-position model. The record is from RNAcentral.
UACAUGUGGGGCAAGCGUUGUUCGGAAUUACUGGUCCUAAAGGGUGCGUAGGCGGUUUGUUAAGUCACUGGUGAAAGUUUUCGGCCCAACCGGAAAAUUGCCUGUGAUACUGGCGAACUUGAGUGCGUGAGGGGUGGGGGGAACGAGCAGUGUAGCGGUGAAAUGCGUAGAUAUCGGAAGGAACAUCAGUGGCGAAAGCGACUUCCUGGACCAGUACCGACGGUCAGGCACGAAAGCGUGGGGAGCAAACAGG